GGGCCUUUAGCUCAGUUGGUUAGAGCAGCGGACUCAUAAUCCGUUGGUCGCGGGUUCAAGUCCCGCAGGGCCUACCA
This 77-nucleotide transfer RNA is filed under the name Basilea psittacipulmonis DSM 24701. RNAcentral describes it as "tRNA-Ile2 (CAT) (tRNA-Ile2-CAT-1-1)". It matches the Rfam family "tRNA". From Rfam's summary of the family: Transfer RNA (tRNA) molecules are approximately 80 nucleotides in length. Their secondary structure includes four short double-helical elements and three loops (D, anti-codon, and T loops). Lineage: Bacteria; Pseudomonadati; Pseudomonadota; Betaproteobacteria; Burkholderiales; Alcaligenaceae. The record is from RNAcentral.